CCCGGUGACUUAUAUGUUAAACGGCCGCGGUACCCUAACCGUGCAAAGGUAGCAUAAUCAUUUGCCUUUUAAUUGGAGGCUUGUAUGAAUGGUUUGACGAGAGCUAAGCUGUCUCUUUUUUAAUAUUUAAAAAUUAACUUUUAGGUGAAGAGGCCUAAAUUUAUUUGAGGGACGAGAAGACCCUGUUGAGCUUUAAUGUUGUAAUAAAAUUUUAGAUUAUUGGCGGCUUUAGUUGCUUUUCAUGUAAAUAUUAUUUAUUUAGGUAAAAUAUUUUUUUAUUGUUAAUUUUUAGUUGGGGCGACUGAGGAACAGGUAAAGCUUCCUUUAUGAUAAUUAUUAUAUAUUAAGGGAUUAAUAAUGUUGAUGGAUUAUAGGGAUCCAGUAUUUACUGAUCAAAGGAAGAAGUUACCACAGGGAUAACAGCGUAAUCUUUCUGGAGAGAUCUUAUCGAAAGGAGGGUUUGCGACCUCGAUGUUGGACUAAGAUAUCCUAAGGGUGUAGAAGCUCUUGAUGGUUGGUCUGUUCGACCAUUAAAAUCUUACGUGAUCUGAGU
This 553-nucleotide ribosomal RNA is filed under the name Diloma aethiops. Its description in RNAcentral is "partial 16S ribosomal RNA". It matches the Rfam family "Bacterial large subunit ribosomal RNA", at positions 1862 to 2610 of the family's 2925-position model. The record is from RNAcentral. Lineage: Eukaryota; Metazoa; Mollusca; Gastropoda; Trochida; Trochidae.